UACGUAGGGUGCAAGCGUUAAUCGGAAUUACUGGGCGUAAAGCGUGCGCAGGCGGUUGUGCAAGACCGAUGUGAAAUCCCCGGGCUUAACCUGGGAAUGGCAUUGGUGACUGCACGGCUAGAGUGUGUCAGAGGGGGGUAGAAUUCCACGUGUAGCAGUGAAAUGCGUAGAGAUGUGGAGGAAUACCGAUGGCGAAGGCAGCCCCCUGGGACUAACACUGACGCUCAUGCACGAAAGCGUGGGGGAGCAAACAGG
Molecule: ribosomal RNA, 255 nt
Filed under: uncultured bacterium
Lineage: Bacteria
Description: partial 16S ribosomal RNA
Rfam family: Bacterial small subunit ribosomal RNA
Source: RNAcentral